RNAcentral lists this ribosomal RNA (919 nucleotides) under Saccharomyces cerevisiae (brewer's yeast). RNAcentral describes it as "SSU rRNA". It matches the Rfam family "Eukaryotic small subunit ribosomal RNA", at positions 1 to 930 of the family's 1831-position model. The record is from RNAcentral. Lineage: Eukaryota; Fungi; Ascomycota; Saccharomycetes; Saccharomycetales; Saccharomycetaceae.
UCUGGUUGAUCCUGCCAGUAGUCAUAUGCUUGUCUCAAAGAUUAAGCCAUGCAUGUCUAAGUAUAAGCAAUUUAUACAGUGAAACUGCGAAUGGCUCAUUAAAUCAGUUAUCGUUUAUUUGAUAGUUCCUUUACUACAUGGUAUAACUGUGGUAAUUCUAGAGCUAAUACAUGCUUAAAAUCUCGACCCUUUGGAAGAGAUGUAUUUAUUAGAUAAAAAAUCAAUGUCUUCGGACUCUUUGAUGAUUCAUAAUAACUUUUCGAAUCGCAUGGCCUUGUGCUGGCGAUGGUUCAUUCAAAUUUCUGCCCUAUCAACUUUCGAUGGUAGGAUAGUGGCCUACCAUGGUUUCAACGGGUAACGGGGAAUAAGGGUUCGAUUCCGGAGAGGGAGCCUGAGAAACGGCUACCACAUCCAAGGAAGGCAGCAGGCGCGCAAAUUACCCAAUCCUAAUUCAGGGAGGUAGUGACAAUAAAUAACGAUACAGGGCCCAUUCGGGUCUUGUAAUUGGAAUGAGUACAAUGUAAAUACCUUAACGAGGAACAAUUGGAGGGCAAGUCUGGUGCCAGCAGCCGCGGUAAUUCCAGCUCCAAUAGCGUAUAUUAAAGUUGUUGCAGUUAAAAAGCUCGUAGUUGAACUUUGGGCCCGGUUGGCCGGUCCGAUUUUUUCGUGUACUGGAUUUCCAACGGGGCCUUUCCUUCUGGCUAACCUUGAGUCCUUGUGGCUCUUGGCGAACCAGGACUUUUACUUUGAAAAAAUUAGAGUGUUCAAAGCAGGCGUAUUGCUCGAAUAUAUUAGCAUGGAAUAAUAGAAUAGGACGUUUGGUUCUAUUUUGUUGGUUUCUAGGACCAUCGUAAUGAUUAAUAGGGACGGUCGGGGGCAUCAGUAUUCAAUUGUCAGAGGUGAAAUUCUUGGAUUUAGA